GACGAACGCUGGCGGCGUGCUUAACACAUGCGAGUCAAACGCUGAAGCUCAGCUUUUGUUGGGUGGAUGAGUGGCGAACGGGUGAGUAACACGUGAGUAACCUGCCCCCUUCUUUGGGAUAACGCCCGGAAACGGGUGCUAAUACUGGAUAUUCACUGGUCUUCGCAUGGGGGUUGGUGGAAAGGGUUUUUCUGGUGGGGGAUGGGCUCGCGGCCUAUCAGCUUGUUGGUGGGGUGAUGGCCUACCAAGGCUUUGACGGGUAGCCGGCCUGAGAGGGUGACCGGUCACAUUGGGACUGAGAUACGGCCCAGACUCCUACGGGAGGCAGCAGUGGGGAAUAUUGCACAAUGGGCGCAAGCCUGAUGCAGCGACGCCGCGUGAGGGAUGGAGGCCUUCGGGUUGUGAACCUCUUUCGCUCAUGGUCAAGCCGCAACAAUGGUUGUGGUGAGGGUAGUGGGUAAAGAAGCGCCGGCUAACUACGUG
RNAcentral lists this ribosomal RNA (483 nucleotides) under uncultured bacterium. Its description in RNAcentral is "partial 16S ribosomal RNA". It matches the Rfam family "Bacterial small subunit ribosomal RNA", at positions 28 to 507 of the family's 1533-position model. The record is from RNAcentral.